RNAcentral lists this ribosomal RNA (424 nucleotides) under uncultured bacterium. RNAcentral's name for it is "bacterial SSU rRNA". It matches the Rfam family "Bacterial small subunit ribosomal RNA", at positions 355 to 776 of the family's 1533-position model. RNAcentral also lists the same sequence under 1 other name. The record is from RNAcentral.
UGAGGAAUAUUGGUCAAUGGACGAGAGUCUGAACCAGCCAAGUAGCGUGAAGGAUGACUGCCCUAUGGGUUGUAAACUUCUUUUAUACGGGAAUAAAGUGAGCCACGUGUGGCUUUUUGUAUGUACCGUAUGAAUAAGGAUCGGCUAACUCCGUGCCAGCAGCCGCGGUAAUACGGAGGAUCCGAGCGUUAUCCGGAUUUAUUGGGUUUAAAGGGAGCGUAGGCGGGUUGUUAAGUCAGUUGUGAAAGUUUGCGGCUCAACCGUAAAAUUGCAGUUGAUACUGGCGACCUUGAGUGCAACAGAGGUAGGCGGAAUUCGUGGUGUAGCGGUGAAAUGCUUAGAUAUCACGAAGAACUCCGAUUGCGAAGGCAGCUUACUGGAUUGUAACUGACGCUGAUGCUCGAAAGUGUGGGUAUCAAACAGG